RNAcentral lists this ribosomal RNA (403 nucleotides) under uncultured bacterium. RNAcentral's name for it is "partial 16S ribosomal RNA". It matches the Rfam family "Bacterial small subunit ribosomal RNA", at positions 30 to 526 of the family's 1533-position model. The record is from RNAcentral.
AUUGAACGCUGGCGGCAGGCCUAACACAUGCAAGUCGAGCGAGCGGCGGACGGGUGAGUAAUGUAUGGGGACUGCCCGCUAGAGGGGGAUCACUACUGGAAACGGUAGCUAAAACCGCAUACUAUCGGCUUACCCAUAUGGGAUUAGCUAGUAGGUGAGGUAAGGGCCCACCAAGGCGCCGAUCCCUAGCUGGUCUGAGAGGACGACCAGCCACACUGGGACGGAGACACGGCCCAGACGCCUACGGAGGCAGCAGUGGGGAAUUUUGGACAAUGGGGGAAACCCUGAUCCAGCCAUCCCGCGUGUAUGAUGAAGGCCUUCGGGUUGUAAAGUACUUUUGGCAGAGAAGCGGUAUCUGCAGAAUAAGCACCGGCUAACUACGUGCCAGCAGCCGCGGUAAUUC